Molecule: ribosomal RNA, 847 nt
Filed under: uncultured bacterium
Lineage: Bacteria
Description: bacterial SSU rRNA
Rfam family: Bacterial small subunit ribosomal RNA
Source: RNAcentral
UCGCGGCUACACAUGCAAGUCGAACGGAAAGGCCCUGCUUUUGUGGGGUGCUCGAGUGGCGAACGGGUUGAGUAACACGUGAGUAACCUGCCCUUGACUUUGGGAUAACUUCAGGAAACUGGGGCUAAUACCGGAUAGGAGCUCCUGCUGCAUGGUGGGGGUUGGAAAGUUUCGGCGGUUGGGGAUGGACUCGCGGCUUAUCAGCUUGUUGGUGGGGUAGUGGCUUACCAAGGCUUUGACGGGUAGCCGGCCUGAGAGGGCGACCGGCCACAUUGGGACUGAGAUACGGCCCAGACUCCUACGGGAGGCAGCAGUGGGGAAUAUUGCACAAUGGGCGGAAGCCUGAUGCAGCAACGCCGCGUGCGGGAUGACGGCCUUCGGGUUGUAAACCGCUUUCGCCUGUGACGAAGCGUGAGUGACGGUAAUGGGUAAAGAAGCACCGGCUAACUACGUGCCAGCAGCCGCGGUGAUACGUAGGGUGCGAGCGUUGUCCGGAUUUAUUGGGCGUAAAGGGCUCGUAGGUGGUUGAUCGCGUCGGAAGUGUAAUCUUGGGGCUUAACCCUGAGCGUGCUUUCGAUACGGGUUGACUUGAGGAAGGUAGGGGAGAAUGGAAUUCCUGGUGGAGCGGUGGAAUGCGCAGAUAUCAGGAGGAACACCAGUGGCGAAGGCGGUUCUCUGGGCCUUUCCUGACGCUGAGGAGCGAAAGCGUGGGGAGCGAACAGGCUUAGAUACCCUGGUAGUCCACGCUGUAACCGGUGGGUACUAGGUGUGGGGUCCAUUCCACGGGUUCCGUGCCGUAGCUAACGCUUUAAGUACCCCGCCUGGGGAGUACGGCCGCAAGGCUAAA